AGCAACGGUCUAUCCCAAAAAUGAUUUGCAUCAAAUCACAAAAGCAGGUCUGAGAAGGCAAAGUAUUGAUACCAUGAUUCAAUAUACCACAAAGCUUUGAACUUAAACUCAUAAAUCAUAAGAUGGGAGCAAAUAAUGCAUGGUUUAUUCAGAUACUUAACAAAUUAGACCAUAUUUGGUCGACAAUCAACUAACCCGAGUCAAGAUACGCUCAAAUUAUUAUUAUUAUUAUUAUUUCCUUAGCAUACUCAAAAAAAUAGCAAAUUCUAUCCAAGAGAUAACAUAAUCAUAUCAUGAUUGACCUGAGAAUCAACAAAAUCUUUCAUUAUUGAACAACAUAGUCUUUCAUAAUAACAUGUUACCAAAAUACAAUCAAUAUUUUUGACCAGUUUAGAUUGACUCAAUCCAUCAUACUUUCGCUGCGCAACUCUGAUCAAUAUUCUCCAAAAUUUCUUAAUGAUCCCAAAUUAUCAGCAUUUUUUUUUCUUUUUAAUAUCCAAACAAAAUUUUAUCCUUGCUUCCCAAGUACACUAGAUCAUGA
This 541-nucleotide long non-coding RNA is filed under the name Phoenix dactylifera (date palm). Its description in RNAcentral is "long non-coding RNA (PDAC_LNC006008)". Lineage: Eukaryota; Viridiplantae; Streptophyta; Magnoliopsida; Arecales; Arecaceae. The record is from RNAcentral.